UACGUAGGGUGCGAGCGUUAAUCGGAAUUACUGGGCGUAAAGCGUGCGCAGGCGGUUCGUUAAGUCCGAUGUGAAAGCCCCGAGCUUAACUUGGGAAUGGCAUUGGAAACUGGCGGGCUGGAGUGUGGCAGAGGGGGGUGGAAUUCCACGUGUAGCAGUGAAAUGCGUAGAGAUGUGGAGGAACACCGAUGGCGAAGGCAGCCCCCUGGGCCAACACUGACGCUGAGAAGCGAAAGCAUGGGGAGCGAACAGG
This 253-nucleotide ribosomal RNA is filed under the name uncultured bacterium. RNAcentral's name for it is "partial 16S ribosomal RNA". It matches the Rfam family "Bacterial small subunit ribosomal RNA", at positions 524 to 776 of the family's 1533-position model. The record is from RNAcentral.